RNAcentral lists this long non-coding RNA (2141 nucleotides) under Musa acuminata (dwarf banana). RNAcentral describes it as "long non-coding RNA (MACU_LNC007971)". The record is from RNAcentral. Lineage: Eukaryota; Viridiplantae; Streptophyta; Magnoliopsida; Zingiberales; Musaceae.
AAGGCACUUUGGCGAACUCAACUCAACCUCCGCUGUAUAGAUUCCAAUUCUGUCUUCUCUUUCCAUAGGAGAAAAGUGUACUUUCAAAGCUUCUUCUGCUAACUAACCCAUGAGACUAUCGAGGUACCUAACCUCUUUAUAUCUGUCUUUUCUUUUGCUUCCAGACUCACUACCACUUAUCUUAUUGCUGGCUCUUUUGCUUCCAGACUCACUACCACUUAUCUUAUUGCAGUGAAUAUGCACAUCGUAUGAUAUAAGUAAGUUACUUCCCUGCUGACACACCUAUGACUCUCGGUGCACGUGCUGCUUCAAAUCUAACAACCUAACGGACCCGAGAAGUAAGCUUACGCGAGUUAAUGUUGAGUUGCUUGUUGAAUGGAAUCUAUCUCUCCUAAUGUAGAAUGGAGUAAACAAACUUAAUAAGAGUAUUUGAUAGUGCACCUUAUAAGAUAUAAUUGAUUAACCUAGCACACUACCACUUCUUUGCUAGUUCCCUUGCUUUGAAUGUGAAAAAGAAGGAAUUGGACUUCACUCCUAGCACGCACGCACCCCGAGUUGCCUUCUUUCCCUUCUUUCGCACCACUCAUUAAAGCGGAGCACGAUAAGCCUUAGCACCCGGGGGAAACCAAUUCAAUUCAAUCUAAUUCACCUCAUCAUACAAUUGAGUAACAACACUACUGACUGCAACAAGCAAAAGAAACUCUGUUAGCGGGAUCGUAUAGAAACUGACAGGUAAUAUUCCGUUUUCUAUACUUUUAUAAACUCCUUUAGCUUAGCUUGAAAUAUGAAGUUGUCAAGGAAAACAAACAGUCAAAUCAGGUAAUUUCAUCUUACCUUUCCACACCAGAGGAUAGGUCAAUACCUGAGGAUAGCCUUGAAUAGCAGCUUACUUGAGAACUGACUGAUCCAGCGGAUUCUCUUUCCUCCCGGGCCUACCUCUGUUGGAGAGUCAACCGGUAUUCUAUAUUUGUUGCACUUAAUCAUUGGGCUGGGUGUUAGAGAUGCAAAUGGUAUAUAUAAGGAUAUAGAAGGGCAAGUCUCUUUCUGUUCUUGAGCAAGUAAAGAAGCUAGUUCAAAGGCAAAGGAUGCCCCUUAUAGUACUAGAUCAAGAAAGAAUGGAAUAGAAUUAUUUGACAGAGGGGAGCCAGUAGUUGGCGAUAGGGUAGUUGACUUCCUUCAAUUGACUAGUUGAAGACCUGAUUGAUAGUAGCUAGUGGAAUGAUUUGCCUACGGAGUUCAAUUCAGUAUUAGUAGCAAUAGGUGUAUACGAGUAGUCCAGAUCGAUACCUCUUCUUUCUAUCUUACCUACUUGUGAGUGCAAUUCCUUAUCUGUUGCCAGCAGGGUUCAAUGAUUUGUUCUUACAGUUUAGAGGCAAGGUAAGCAGUUCCGUCAGAAGGAGAGGUCGGGGAAGACUAAGUGGAGAUAGGUUCUUGGCAGAUAAGUUAUUGGCGAUUGACUGUAUACGAGAUCUGAAGCCAAAGAAGAAGAUGGAAAGUAGAGUGAGACUAGUUGUAGCUUGUCUUAACGCAAAGUGGGUGUUUCACCUAUCCCUAAUAGGUGUGAGUCAUGUACAAGUCCUGUGUUCCUAGCGUGUUGCGCGUUAGCGAGUUCUGCUCAAACAAAGAGACGAAAUCCUUUGUUGACUUCAUACAGUGCUGUUUUCUAGGGCAAGAAGGUAGUAAGGGAAAGAAGAAAGUCAAGGUUGGUUGGUACAGGAAUAUCAGAUGUUUCCGCUUCAUAGCUUAAGUCUGCAGCAAGUGGUUUUUCAAGUGUUGAGUCAGGAGAGGAAUAGGGGUCUUCAGCGGGAAGGGCAAAGCUUAGUAGUUAGCUAAGGAGCCCCCCGGUCGGGGCAGAAGAUGUUGUAGCGGUAGGGAAGGGGGAGUUGGUUGGCCCAGUGCAACUAAUACAAAAGUGAGGCCAGUAGGCUCAGGAAUGGAUUUUAGCACAGAAGUAAGUUAUUCGGAUUGCUUAGUCUCUCCAUAAGAACUAUCCAGAAGUCAAACAUGCAUUUCUUAUCUUGUACUGAAGUGACAACAUUAGCUACAUCUUUCGAUCGGUGAGGAAAACAGUAAUGGAAUCCUUUGUCUCGAGCACCCGCAAUAGAAUAAGAUAGUCAAGACACUGCCAUUAACUUAAGGGC